AGUGAACGCUGGCGGUAGGCCUAACACAUGCAAGUCGAACGGCAGCACAGUAAGAGCUUGCUCUUACGGGUGGCGAGUGGCGGACAGGUGAGGAAUACAUCGGAAUCUACUUUUUCGUGGGGGAUAACGUAGGGAAACUUACGCUAAUACCGCAUACGACCUACGGGUGAAAGCAGGGGAUCUUCGGACCUUGCGCGAUUGAAUGAGCCGAUGUCGGAUUAGCUAGUUGGCGGGGUAAAGGCCCACCAAGGCGACGAUCCGUAGCUGGUCUGAGAGGAUGAUCAGCCACACUGGAACUGAGACACGGUCCAGACUCCUACGGGAGGCAGCAGUGGGGAAUAUUGGACAAUGGGCGCAAGCCUGAUCCAGCCAUACCGCGUGGGUGAAGAAGGCCUUCGGGUUGUAAAGCCCUUUUGUUGGGAAAGAAAAGCAGCAGGUUAAUACCCCGCUGUCCUGACGGUACCCAAAGAAUAAGCACCGGCUAACUUCGUG
Molecule: ribosomal RNA, 492 nt
Filed under: uncultured bacterium
Lineage: Bacteria
Description: partial 16S ribosomal RNA
Rfam family: Bacterial small subunit ribosomal RNA
Source: RNAcentral